Molecule: long non-coding RNA, 944 nt
Organism: Photinus pyralis (common eastern firefly)
Lineage: Eukaryota; Metazoa; Arthropoda; Insecta; Coleoptera; Lampyridae
Exons: 3
Source: RefSeq, a predicted model, not a curated record
CCUUUAAUUCACUAAGCAUAUUAUAUAUCAGCGUAUAUAUUAAUCAUUUUCAAAAAUCUCACCAUCUUCAUUGCAUUUUCAGGGUUUAUAAAAUUGUCGAUGUAGUUGGGCAGUAUACCGUUUAUCAAUCGCUCGUUAUUGUAUAGUGGGCAAUGGCUUAUAAUAUGAGUAACCGUGAUGGCCGUAUUGCAGUGAUUACAUUGUCGUGACGGUGCAUUUUCACGUUGUCCUCUCUCGAAGCAUCUUGUAGCGUGUAUAGUGUCGUUGGAAUAGGUUUUAUCUGCGACAGGUGUCUUCUGAUGUCACUUGCCACCAUGAAAUUUACAUCUGUCUGCUGGUUCGAUAUCGCUCUACGAGCGGCCUGGUCUGCUUGUUCGUUGCCAAAGAUACCAACGUGGCUAGGGACCCAAAUAAAUUCGAGUGAUUUACCUUGCUCCGAAAUACGAUGUAUAGCAGACUGUAGCAUGAUGUUCAUCGGAUCUGUGUUGUAGAUUUUCUUUAGCCCAUUUAGGAUAUUCAUACAGUCCGUAACAACUAAAAAUCGGUUGUUUUCCAUCAUUGAACAGUAUAGCACAGCCUGCCAUAGGGCAUACUGCUCUGCAAAGGACCCAUCCGUGUACACAGGUUGGUAUGAGGGAUAUUCGUUAAGGAGGUUCUCGUAUGCCUGCAGGUAAGUGGGUUGUUUUGUAAUCUCUUUUUUGUAGCGCAUUAGAUCUUUUCUUAUUUUUAUUUCAGGUACCUUCCACGGGACAGUGUCCAGCAUCAUUUCAUGGAGCGGCGCUGGAGGGACUAUUCGGCGUUGCUCGAGAUGUUCCUGGAAUCUGAUACAGGCAGGGCGGGUAAUGGUAGGUUUCAGUCUGUACAACUGCAUGUCUAUGUUGAGUAUCACCCUAUUAGGAUGUAAUGGCAAUGAUGAAAUUUUAGUCAUAUAGCUUGCAAUUAGU